CACAUCAGCUCGAGUGAGGAUACGCGCUAAACUUAAACAUAUCAGUCGGCGCACGCAAUAAAAACUAACCAGGAUUCCCUUAGUAACGGCGAGUGAAGUGGGAAACAUACUCGUUCAGCCCAACGAUAAAAUCCAUUCUUAGCUGGCUAGGCUUCUGUCUUCCAGCUGGAGGGAAUUGUAGCAUCGUAAAAUAAAUACACAAACGCACACAAUACACUGUGUAAAAAAACAUAUCAAAUGUUGUAUCUAACUUAACGUAAAAAAAUUACAUCGUUGCACUACAUACUUACCCAAACACACAGCGUUUAGCGCUGGAAAAGCAAGUCUAUUACAUGCCAUAGAGUGUGACAGCCACGUUUGCCUUUGGUAAACUUAACUACACGCAAUGUAUUGUAUGCUUUUACAAGAUACGUAAUUCAUUCGAUCAAUAACUAACAAACUUUAACCCUGAGUCGAGUUGUUUGGGACUACAGCUCAAAUUGUUUGGUGGUGGUAAUGACACAUCAAAGGCUAAAUAUUGGGUGUUUAAUACGAUUGCAACGGAGACCGAUAGCAACAAGUACCGUAAGGAAACGAUGAAAGCACCCUUUUAGCACGUGCGUCACUCUGUGUACGUACAAGCUCCAUCGGGAGUGAAAGAGAGAGUGAAAUCGCCUGACAUUUAAAUACACACUGUAUUAAUUCAGCGAAGUACAAUCGGACAGAGUGUCUUUGGCUCUCUUUUGAGCGUGGCGGGGCUGCUAUGUGCAUAUUUAUAUCACAUUGCAUGCUUUGCUUUCAUUCAAGACAUAACUAUUCGACCCGUUUUGAAACACGGACCAAGGAGUUCAACUGGAAUGCGAGUCGUAGAGUUAUUAAACUCAAAUCGGCGAAGCGAAAGCAAAUUUUGCGCGAAUCUUUUUUAUAAGAUGCAGCGCGGGCUGAUAAAGUAUGCUACGUAGAGCUUGCUGUGCGUGCACCUACUAAUUUUUUAGCAGGACUUAUCAAGCUAAAGAGCAAUUUAGUUGAGACCCGAAAGAUGGUGAACUAUGCUCGGACAUGGUGAAGCCAGGUGAAAACUUGGUGGAAGCUUGCGUUGUGCGGAACUGACGUGCAAAUCGUUACCGCCUGACCUGAGUAUAGGGGCGAAAGACUCAUCGAACCAUCUAGUAGCUGGUUCCCUCCGAAGUUUCCCUCAGGAUAGC
RNAcentral lists this ribosomal RNA (1184 nucleotides) under Planoglabratella opercularis. RNAcentral's name for it is "partial large subunit ribosomal RNA". It matches the Rfam family "Eukaryotic large subunit ribosomal RNA", at positions 1 to 982 of the family's 3401-position model. The record is from RNAcentral. Lineage: Eukaryota; Foraminifera; Rotaliida; Glabratellidae.